GAUUGCUUCUUUUGUUCUACUACAAAUAUGCUCCACAUGGCAGGGAGAGUUAUGCUCCUAAAUUUCUUAUUUUGUGCAUUGUGAAAUGAUUGUUCUAACAACAUCAAGUUUGUGUUCUUCAUAUAAUCUAUCUCAGAUUGCUCUAUGUUUUGCAGGUCUCGAGGUCAAGCCUGGACCCACUGUCAAGUGUGUGCUUGGACAUGACUUUAUCCUGCACUUUCCAGUGCUGCACUUGGGGAAUCAAAGAAAAGUGAAAGUGCCAUGUCAAAGUUGAUGACCAGAAGCUUGCUAUUGGAACCCUCUCUAUUGAAAAAUACCCCUAGAUAGAAAUUGAUUUGGUUUUCAAUAAAGAGUAUGAAGAGAAGGAGCUAAACAUUCCAGUAAUCAAGGAAAAUGG
Zea mays is the source of this 397-nucleotide long non-coding RNA. RefSeq lists it as uncharacterized. Lineage: Eukaryota; Viridiplantae; Streptophyta; Magnoliopsida; Poales; Poaceae. The record is from RefSeq and is a predicted model, not a curated record. The transcript has 3 exons.